GAUGAACGCUAGCGGGAGGCUUAACACAUGCAAGUCGAGGGGCAUCACGAGGUAGCAAUACUUUGGUGGCGACCGGCGCACGGGUGAGUAACGCGUAUGCAACCUACCCUGUACAGGGGGAUAACCCGGAGAAAUUCGGACUAAUACCCCAUAAAGAUAACUUGAGGCAUCUUGAGAUAUUUAAAGUUUCGGCGGUACGGGAUGGGCAUGCGUAACAUUAGCUAGUUGGCAGGGUAACGACCUACCAAGGCUACGAUGUUUAGGGGACCUGAGAGGGUGAUCCCCCACACUGGUACUGAGACACGGACCAGACUCCUACGGGAGGCAG
This 328-nucleotide ribosomal RNA is filed under the name uncultured Bacteroidota bacterium. Its description in RNAcentral is "bacterial SSU rRNA". It matches the Rfam family "Bacterial small subunit ribosomal RNA", at positions 28 to 351 of the family's 1533-position model. The record is from RNAcentral. Lineage: Bacteria; Pseudomonadati; Bacteroidota.